AAAACGACUCUCGGCAACGGAUAUCUCGGCUCUCGCAUCGAUGAAAAACGUAGCGAAAUGCGAUACUUGGUGUGAAUUGCAGAAUCCCGUGAACCAUCGAGUCUUUGAACGCAAGUUGCGCCCGAAGCCUUCGGGCCGAGGGCACGUCUGCCUGGGCGUCACGC
RNAcentral lists this ribosomal RNA (164 nucleotides) under Salicornia fragilis. Its description in RNAcentral is "5.8S ribosomal RNA". It matches the Rfam family "5.8S ribosomal RNA". Rfam says of the family: 5.8S ribosomal RNA (5.8S rRNA) is a component of the large subunit of the eukaryotic ribosome. Lineage: Eukaryota; Viridiplantae; Streptophyta; Magnoliopsida; Caryophyllales; Amaranthaceae. The record is from RNAcentral.